UGUUAAAAAAUUGGUUUAAAUAUCAGUUUUCAGUGCUUUGGAGGCUAAAAACAGGAAAAAAAACACAAAUGUUAGCGGAAAAACUGAUUUUAAAUAGUUUUAACAGUAAAAUGAGAAAAAAACAAAGCAAUUUUAUUUAAAAUACGAUUUU
Caenorhabditis elegans is the source of this 151-nucleotide small nucleolar RNA. The record is from Ensembl. NCBI's taxonomy places the organism in Eukaryota, Metazoa, Nematoda, Chromadorea, Rhabditida, Rhabditidae.